UGGGGUGGAAUUCCCCCUUAGAGUUGGAUCCUGGGUCAGGAGAAACGCUGAGCGGCGUGCUUAACACAUGCAAGUCAAACGAAAAGCGAUGGAAGCUUGCUUCUAUCAUUCUUAGUGGCGAACGGGUGAGUAACGCGUAAUCAACCUGCCCUUCAGAGGGGGACAACAGUUGAAAACGACUGCUAAUACCGCAUACGAUCUACCCUCGGCAUCGAGGAUAGAUGAAAGGUGGCCUCUAUUUAUAAUCUAUCGCUGAAGGAGGGGAUUGCGUCCGAUUCGCUAGUUGGAGGGGUAACGGCCCACCAAGGCGAUGAUCAGUAGCCGGUCUGAGAGGAUGAACGGCCACAUUUGGGACUGAGACACGGCCCAGACUCCUACGGGAGGCGGCAGUGGGGAAUCUUCCGCAAUGGACGUAAGUCUGACGGAGCAACGCCGCGUGAGUGAUGACGGCCUUCGGGAUGUAAAGCUCUGUUAAUCGGGACGAAAGGCCUUCUUGCGAAUAGUUAGAAGGAUUGACGGUACCGGAAUAGAAAGCCACGGCUAACUACGUGCCAGCAGCCGCGGUAAUACGUAGGUGGCAAGCGUUGUCCGGAAUUAUUGGGCGUAAAGCGCGCGCAGGCGGAUUGGUCGGUCUGUCUUAAAAGUUCGGGGCUUAACCCCGUGAUGGGAUGGAAACUGCCAAUCUAGAGUAUCGGAGAGGAAAGUGGAAUUCCUAGUGUAGCGGUGAAAUGCGUAGAUAUUAGGAAGAACACCAGUGGCGAAGGCGACUUUCUGGACGAAAACUGACGCUGAGGCGCGAAAGCCAGGGGAGCGAACGGGAUUAGAUACCCCGGUAGUCCUGGCCGU
Molecule: ribosomal RNA, 846 nt
Filed under: uncultured organism
Description: SSU rRNA
Rfam family: Bacterial small subunit ribosomal RNA
Source: RNAcentral